CCUCAUCCAAAUUGUUGAUAAAAUAAACAAUAAAAUUCAACAGAAUAGUAUCAACAACAGAAUUCUAGAAUUAUGGAGUCUUCUCAGUGGAUUAUGGUACGACAGCAACUUAAUUUCAGGAUGGAAGAAGAGUGCCUCUCUUUUUUUAAGUGGGACCAAAUGAGUCACUAACUUACCUGGGGAUGUCUACGUUAGAAAAACAGAGCAAGUCAAAACCCCCCAGGAAGAUGAAUGGUGAGGAAGAUCAAUGAAUGGCAACUGUAUGUCCAGCCCAGGUAAAACAGUGAGUUCCAAUCUCAAAACAACAGCCACCAAAAAGAUCCAACUCCAGAAAAGGUUGAAAGAAAAAAAAAAAAAAAAAACAAGCAAAGGAAGAAUAGGAGAAUCACAAGACAUCAAAGUGUCAAGGGAUUUCAGAAGUCAGUCAGCUAGUGCAACCUGUGUCUGAAUAGGAAUCCUUCUUCAAUAUAACUGAUGCUGCCUGUCCAUCUUUGCCAGGACCUACAAUAAAAUCAUAAAACUUUUAAAAUUUUGGAAGGAAAUUUAUACUAUUCAAAAGAGGGGAGGGACUUUAUUAGGGGCAGGAAAGUAAGGCAAAGAUCACCAGUCCCAUUCAGAUCAUUUCACUCUUGUUCAAGGAGGCUUCCCAGUAAUUUUUAUGGACCAUUUGAAUUAAAUAAAAUUAUGAUGGGAAUUAAAGGAAUUGAGAUGCAUUUCUCAUUGACUCAAAGAACAGAUUGAGUUGUAGUACAAAAAAUAGAUGUAAGGUC
This 770-nucleotide long non-coding RNA is filed under the name Sarcophilus harrisii (Tasmanian devil). Its description in RNAcentral is "lncRNA (ENSSHAG00000022347.1)". Lineage: Eukaryota; Metazoa; Chordata; Mammalia; Dasyuromorphia; Dasyuridae. The record is from RNAcentral.